UCAGUUGAAGCCAAUGUACGGCGUGCCACUGUUAAUGGUAAUUUAAGAAGUUAAAAUCUUCUCAAUUGAG
This 70-nucleotide transfer RNA is filed under the name Triops granarius. Its description in RNAcentral is "tRNA-Asn". Lineage: Eukaryota; Metazoa; Arthropoda; Branchiopoda; Notostraca; Triopsidae. The record is from RNAcentral.